UUUGACUUUGACAAACUAAUGUUGUGUUGUAUUUAUUUCGUGGGCAUGAAUAAAAUUUGAGGAGAAAUAACGAAAAUGAAGUUCUUCUCUUGUAUUUUUGUGCUGUUAAGUCUCUUUGUCUCCAUUGUUAUUGCUGUAACGGAUCAGAAGGUAGCAUACAACGUGAGCAGUAUUAUUCCGGCAGUUUUUGUGUUCGGCGAUACCGUAGUUGAUACAGGCAGCAACAACUGGUUUCGCACGCGGGAACAUCCUACAUCAUGGGAAGAAUUUCGAGGGAGGAAAGCCCAAUGGCAGAUUUUGUGAUGGAAAAGUUCCCUCUGACCUUUUUGUGGAAGAACUGGGAAUAAAGGAGCUCCUGCCUCCAUAUCUUGAUCCAACGCUGCAAGCUAAGGAUCUCAUAACUGGAGUUUGCUUUGCUUCAGCAGCCUCUGGAUAUGAUCCACAAACAAACGCUUUCUUGGUAUAGUUUCCUUUUCCUUUUAUCCUUAAAGAAUAAAGGUGAGGAGUUAUCUUUUUUCUAUAUUUUUUUAUUGAUCUUUUUUUUCUGAUUGAUGAAAAUGCAGCCAGUUUUAUCAAUCCCAAAACAGUUAGAGUUGUUCGAAGAAUAUAUCGAAAAACUUAAAGCUAUUGUUGGACAAGUUAGAGCUUUAGAAAUAUUAAGCAACAGUCUUUUUAUAGUAAUUACCGGCCAGGUUGACAUUCAAUUUAAUCCAGCUUCCUCUCUAAACCCAUCGUACAACCAGCUCUUGGUCAACUUUGCUUCCACUUUUUUGCCGGUAGUUUUAAUUUACAUACACUUAAUUUAAUUAUUUUAUGGUUAAAUUAGCUACUAAACUGAAACUGUUUGAUCUUUGCUAUUUGAAUUUUUAUUUUUGAAAGGGCCUGUACAAGUUAGGGGCACGCAAAAUUGGUGUAUUUGGUGUAGGACCAAUAGGAUGCUUACCAUUUUACAGAAAUACGCAAGGAGGAAUUCAAAGAAAAUGUGUCGAUUCUCUUAAUCACAAAGCAUACUCGUUCAACAACAAGCUCUCGACUGAGAUAAACUCUCUUAUUAACACAUUUCCUGACGCUAAAAUGGUCUACAUUGAUUUCUACAAUUUCAUCCUUGAUCUAAUCAACAACCCUACAAAAUAUGGGUACAAGAUUGCACAAAAUGGGUGUUGUGCUCUUGCUGGAAAACUAGAUUUGCUAGAUUACUGUCCCACCGCAUGUUCAAAUGAUUAUGACUAUAUUUUUUGGACGGUUUCCAUCUUACAGAGAAAGGCUAUAGACUCCUAGUCCGUCAAGUUCUCCUCCAACAUCUUCAAACCUUCAUCUCAUGACCAAAUGAUCGAUUCAUAUACACAAGCAUGGUUCUACUUUCCUCUAUUUGGUUACUGUUAGAAUAUUAGUUGGGCUUAGUUAGGGUUUGGUUGCAUUUGGGCUUCAUUAUUUAUAUUGGGUUGUAGUUGGCUUUGUAUCAUUUUUCUUUUUCAACUUAUUCUUUGUAAAUGGAUCUUACUUAACUAAU
Molecule: non-coding RNA, 1510 nt
Organism: Nicotiana tabacum (common tobacco)
Lineage: Eukaryota; Viridiplantae; Streptophyta; Magnoliopsida; Solanales; Solanaceae
Source: RefSeq, a predicted model, not a curated record